This 417-nucleotide ribosomal RNA is filed under the name uncultured bacterium. Its description in RNAcentral is "bacterial SSU rRNA". It matches the Rfam family "Bacterial small subunit ribosomal RNA", at positions 30 to 450 of the family's 1533-position model. The record is from RNAcentral.
AUUGAACGCUGGCGGCAUGCCUUACACAUGCAAGUCGAACGGCAGCACGGGGCAACCUGGUGGCGAGUGGCGAACGGGUGAGUAAUGCAUCGGAACGUGCCAUUGAGUGGGGGAUAACGUAGCGAAAGUUGCGCUAAUACCGCAUAUUCUGUGAGCAGGAAAGCAGGGGACCGCAAGGCCUUGCGCUCUUUGAGCGGCCGAUGUCAGAUUAGCUAGUUGGUGAGGUAACGGCUUACCAAGGCGACGAUCUGUAGCGGGUCUGAGAGGAUGAUCCGCCACACUGGAACUGAGACACGGUCCAGACUCCUACGGGAGGCAGCAGUGGGGAAUUUUGGACAAUGGGCGCAAGCCUGAUCCAGCCAUGCCGCGUGAGUGAAGAAGGCCUCGGUUGUAAGGACUCUUUCGGUCCGGGAACGG